GCGAGAGUGGCGGAAAUGGCAGACGCGCUGGACUUAGGAUCCAGUGGGCCAAAACCCGUGCGGGUUCAACUCCCGCCUCUCGCACCA
RNAcentral lists this transfer RNA (87 nucleotides) under Candidatus Atribacteria bacterium. RNAcentral's name for it is "tRNA-Leu". It matches the Rfam family "tRNA". From Rfam's summary of the family: Transfer RNA (tRNA) molecules are approximately 80 nucleotides in length. Their secondary structure includes four short double-helical elements and three loops (D, anti-codon, and T loops). Lineage: Bacteria; Pseudomonadati; Atribacterota; Atribacteria. The record is from RNAcentral.